GAAAGACAGUUCAUGGGAGAGAAAUAAGAUAAAUGAGCCCAGGAAGAUACAAAUAACUUUUAGAGUAACGCUCUGGAUAUUAAGGAUAUGCAUCCGAAGUCCAUUUCAUGGUUAAUCAAAGCAGCAGGCUGUCUUUUAAUAUUUGCCACCACCAAUAAAGCUCCAAGGAAAGGAAAAGUAAAGGAAGUCAAGGACCUACAUGUGCUUAUACUUGAGGAAAUAUUCACCUAUACACUAGAAUAUAGAGUUAAAACACAUAUAGGUCAGCUUUUUUUAUUAUGUAUAGAAGCUAUAUUACACUAUUUGCCUUGUAAGCAUUGUAAUUCUAAAAGUAUUCUUAUAAGUCUUAAUUUUUGAAGUGAAAAAAACCUGUAUUGACAAGCGUGUAGUGAUCAGCUUCAGAUUUCUUGUGACUUUGUGGACUUGCAUGUUGCUUUUGAUGUUCUCCUGAAUGUGUUGGCCUCCUCCUA
RNAcentral lists this long non-coding RNA (470 nucleotides) under Bos taurus (domestic cattle). RNAcentral's name for it is "long non-coding RNA NONBTAT006381". Lineage: Eukaryota; Metazoa; Chordata; Mammalia; Artiodactyla; Bovidae. The record is from RNAcentral.